RNAcentral lists this ribosomal RNA (265 nucleotides) under Escherichia coli. Its description in RNAcentral is "partial 16S ribosomal RNA". It matches the Rfam family "Bacterial small subunit ribosomal RNA", at positions 160 to 427 of the family's 1533-position model. Lineage: Bacteria; Pseudomonadati; Pseudomonadota; Gammaproteobacteria; Enterobacterales; Enterobacteriaceae. The record is from RNAcentral.
UAGCUAAUACCGCAUAACGUCGCAAGACCAAAGAGGGGGACCUUCGGGCCUCUUGCCAUCGGAUGUGCCCAGAUGGGAUUAGCUAGUAGGUGGGGUAAAGGCUCACCUAGGCGACGAUCCCUAGCUGGUCUGAGAGGAUGACCAGCCACACUGGAACUGAGACACGGUCCAGACUCCUACGGGAGGCAGCAGUGGGGAAUAUUGCACAAUGGGCGCAAGCCUGAUGCAGCCAUGCCGCGUGUAUGAAGAAGGCCUUCGGGUUGUA